CAACCUGGUGUCGCAAGGCGCUGGGUGCUGGGUGCGGCGCUGGGCACCCGUUGUUUUGAUAACAGCCCUGGGAAGGGGACGGGUUUGCAGUUACUGUCCCCAAAGGAGACUUGGGGACACGGAAUUCCAUAGAAAGUGAGGACUUUAGCCAGAGCUGGGUGUAGACUAGACACUCAGACCUCAGGGUGACGGAGCCCCAACCACCGCACCCAGCGGCCCUUCCCGGGACAGGCCCCUCCUCCGGCCGCCUCCCAGGGCUCAGGAAUGGUGCACCCGGAAACUCACCGGACCUGCCCCGCCUGAAGCAGGGUGCCAGGGCGCCGCGUGCCCCCAAAGUCAGUCCUGGCCAGUGCCCAGGUGAGCCCCCUCCCCCGGGGGAAGGCUGCUGGGCCCAGGCCUUAGCUUCUCGCUUCUCCCACCUCCCACCUCCCUGCUCCUCCCACCCCACUCCCACGGCUGUCCUGUCUGGAGAAGGGGUGUGGGGAGGCCCGUGGAGCUGGGCGUGGGAGGGUCUGGCUGAAGGACCAUCUGUGCCCUCCACCCGUUUCCGGGCUGAGGGUGGAACCCCUCCCAUCCUCUGCUGUGAAGGGGAAGGGGCUGGGAUUGCGUGGGGGCCUGGACACCCCCAAGCAGGACCCUGUCUGGGCACAGUCCCCGCCGGACCUGCUCUGCCUGGGCACCGCCCCCCUCACCCCAGGAAGCGCC
Myotis davidii is the source of this 705-nucleotide long non-coding RNA. RefSeq lists it as uncharacterized. The record is from RefSeq and is a predicted model, not a curated record. The transcript is spliced from 3 exons. NCBI's taxonomy places the organism in Eukaryota, Metazoa, Chordata, Mammalia, Chiroptera, Vespertilionidae.